CCUACGAGUGGCAGCAGUGAGGAAUAUUGGUCAAUGGGCUUACGCCUGAACCAGCCAAGUCGCGUGAGGGAAGACUGCCCUAUGGGUUGUAAACCUCUUUUGUAAGGGAGCAACGCCGGCUACGUGUAGCCGGACUGAGAGUACCUGAAGAAAAAGCAUCCGCAAACUCCGUUCCAGCAGCCGCGGUAAUACGAGGUAUGCGAGGGUUAUCCGUAUUUAUUGGGUUAAAGGGGUGCGUAGGCGGAAUGCCAAGUAAGCGGUAAAGUCGCGGGCCUAAACCUCGCUCCGUAGUGGAAACUGGCGUGCUUGAGUGUGGGAGAGGUAGGCGGAAUGCGUGGUGUAGCGGUGAAAUGCAUAGAUAUCACGCAGAACUCCGGUUGCGAAGGCAGCAUACCGGCGCCCAACUGACGUUGAAGCACGAAAGCGUGGGUAUCGAACAGGAUUAGAUACCCCGGUAGUC
RNAcentral lists this ribosomal RNA (460 nucleotides) under uncultured bacterium. RNAcentral describes it as "partial 16S ribosomal RNA". It matches the Rfam family "Bacterial small subunit ribosomal RNA", at positions 338 to 795 of the family's 1533-position model. The record is from RNAcentral.